RNAcentral lists this ribosomal RNA (1433 nucleotides) under uncultured Alphaproteobacteria bacterium. Its description in RNAcentral is "uncultured alpha proteobacterium 16S ribosomal RNA". It matches the Rfam family "Bacterial small subunit ribosomal RNA". The record is from RNAcentral. Lineage: Bacteria; Pseudomonadati; Pseudomonadota; Alphaproteobacteria.
AGAGUUUGAUCAUGGCUCAGAACGUACGCUGGCGGCACGCCUAACACAUGCAAGUCGAACGAAGUAGCAAUACUUAGUGGCAGACGGGUGAGUAACAUGUAGGUAUCUGCCCUUUGGCCUGGAAUAACACGAGGAAACUUGUGCUAAUACCGGAUAAGUCUUUACGGAGAAAGCUUUAUGCACCAUUGGAUGAGCCUGCACUUGAUUAGUUUGUUGGUGGGGUAAUGGCCUACCAAGACUGUGAUCAAUAGCUGAUUUGAGAGGAUGAUCAGCCACAUUGGGACUGAGACACGGCCCAAACUCCUACGGGAGGCAGCAGUGGGGAAUCUUGCACAAUGGAGGAAACUCUGAUGCAGCGAUGCCGCGUGAGUGAAGAAGGCCUUUGGGUUGUAAAGCUCUUUCGUCGGGGAAGAAAAUGACUGUACCCGAAUAAGAAGGUCCGGCUAACUUCGUGCCAGCAGCCGCGGUAAUACGAAGGGACCUAGCGUAGUUCGGAAUUACUGGGCUUAAAGAGUUCGUAGGUGGUUGAAAAAGUUAGUGGUGAAAUCCCAGAGCUUAACUCUGGAACUGCCAUUAAAACUUUUCAGCUAGAGUAUGAUAGAGGAAAGCAGAAUUUCUAGUGUAGAGGUGAAAUUCGUAGAUAUUAGAAAGAAUACCAAUUGCGAAGGCAGCUUUCUGGAUCAUUACUGACACUGAGGAACGAAAGCAUGGGUAGCGAAGAGGAUUAGAUACCCUCGUAGUCCAUGCCGUAAACGAUGUGUGUUAGACGUUGGAAAUUUAUUUUCAGUGUCGCAGCGAAAGCGAUAAACACACCGCCUGGGGAGUACGACCGCAAGGUUAAAACUCAAAUGAAUUGACGGGGACCCGCACAAGUAGUGGAGCAUGUGGUUUAAUUCGAAGAUACGCGCAGAACCUUACCAACACUUGACAUGUUCGUCGCGACUUUAAGAGAUUAAAGUUUUCGGUUCGGCCGGACGAAACACAGGUGCUGCAUGGCUGUCGUCAGCUCGUGUCGUGAGAUGUUGGGUUAAGUCCCGCAACGAGCGCAACCCUCACUUUUAGUUGCCAUCAUUAAGUUGGGCACUCUGAAAGAACUGCCAGUGAUAAGCUGGAGGAAGGUGGGGAUGACGUCAAGUCCUCAUGGCCCUUACGUGUUGGGCUACACACGUGCUACAAUGGUAUCUACAACAGGAAGCAAGACUGCGAGGUCAAGCAAAUCCUUAAAAGAUACCUCAGUUCGGAUUGCACUCUGCAACUCGAGUGCAUGAAGCUGGAAUUACUAGUAAUCGUGGAUCAGCGUGCCACGGUGAAUGCGUUCCCGGGUCUUGUACACACCGCCCGUCACACCAUGGGAGUUGGUUCUACCUUAAGGCAAGGUUUUAAACCCUUGACCACGGUAUAGUCAGCGACUGGGGUGAAGUCGUAACAAGGUA